GGGGGGGGGGGGGGCUAAUACAUGCAGUCGAGCGAACUGAUUAGAAGCUUGCUUCUAUGACGUUAGCGGCGGACGGGUGAGUAACACGUGGGCAACCUGCCUGUAAGACUGGGAUAACUUCGGGAAACCGAAGCUAAUACCGGAUAGGAUCUUCUCCUUCAUGGGAGAUGAUUGAAAGAUGGUUUCGGCUAUCACUUACAGAUGGGCCCGCGGUGCAUUAGCUAGUUGGUGAGGUAACGGCUCACCAAGGCAACGAUGCAUAGCCGACCUGAGAGGGUGAUCGGCCACACUGGGACUGAGACACGGCCCAGACUCCUACGGGAGGCAGCAGUAGGGAAUCUUCCGCAAUGGACGAAAGUCUGACGGAGCAACGCCGCGUGAGUGAUGAAGGCUUUCGGGUCGUAAAACUCUGUUGUUAGGGAAGAACAAGUACAAGAGUAACUGCUCGUACCUUGACGGUACCUAACCAGAAAGCCACGGCUAACUACGUGCCAGCAGCCGCGGUAAUACGUAGGUGGCAAGCGUUAUCCGGAAUUAUUGGGCGUAAAGCGCGCGCAGGCGGUUUCUUAAGUCUGAUGUGAAAGCCCACGGCUCAACCGUGGAGGGUCAUUGGAAACUGGGGAACUUGAGUGCAGAAGAGAAAAGCGGAAUUCCACGUGUAGCGGUGAAAUGCGUAGAGAUGUGGAGGAACACCAGUGGCGAAGGCGGCUUUUUGGUCUGUAACUGACGCUGAGGCGCGAAAGCGUGGGGAGCAAACAGGAUUAGAUCCUUGGGGUAGU
RNAcentral lists this ribosomal RNA (779 nucleotides) under Priestia megaterium. Its description in RNAcentral is "bacterial SSU rRNA". It matches the Rfam family "Bacterial small subunit ribosomal RNA", at positions 35 to 794 of the family's 1533-position model. The record is from RNAcentral. Lineage: Bacteria; Bacillati; Bacillota; Bacilli; Caryophanales; Bacillaceae.